RNAcentral lists this ribosomal RNA (274 nucleotides) under uncultured bacterium. RNAcentral describes it as "partial 16S ribosomal RNA". It matches the Rfam family "Bacterial small subunit ribosomal RNA", at positions 523 to 796 of the family's 1533-position model. The record is from RNAcentral.
AUACGGAGGGUGCAAGCGUUACUCGGAAUCACUGGGCGUAAAGCGCACGCAGGCGGUCUUUUAAGUUGGAUGUGAAAGCCUACGGCUCAACCGUAGAACUGCAUCCAAAACUAUUAGACUAGAGUGUGGGAGAGGAAGAUGGAAUUAGUUGUGUAGGGGUAAAAUCCGUAGAGGUAACUAGGAAUACCAAAAGCGAAGGCAAUCUUCUGGAACACUACUGACGCUGAGGCGCGAAAGCGUGGGGAGCGAACAGGAUUAGAAACCCCGGUAGUCC